This 376-nucleotide ribosomal RNA is filed under the name uncultured bacterium. RNAcentral's name for it is "bacterial SSU rRNA". It matches the Rfam family "Bacterial small subunit ribosomal RNA", at positions 524 to 898 of the family's 1533-position model. The record is from RNAcentral.
UACGUAGGGAGCAAGCGUUGUCCGGAAUUACUGGGCGUAAAGGGCGCGUAGGCGGGAAUUUAAGUCAGAUGUGAAAACUCUGGGCUCAACCUGGAGACUGCAUUUGAAACUGGAUUUCUUGAGGGCAGGAGAGGAAAGUGGAAUUCCUAGUGUAGCGGUGAAAUGCGUAGAUAUUAGGAGGAACACCAGUGGCGAAGGCGACUUUCUGGACUGUACCUGACGCUGAGGCGCGAAAGCGUGGGGAGCAAACGGGAUUAGAUACCCCGGUAGUCCACGCUGUAAACGAUGGAUACUAGGUGUAGGAGGUAUCGACCCCUUCUGUGCCGCAGUUAACACAAUAAGUAUCCCGCCUGGGGAGUACGGCCGCAAGGUUGAA